UACGUAGGGGGCUAGCGUUGUCCGGAUUUAUUGGGCGUAAAGAGCGUGUAGGCGGCCAGGUAGGUCCGGUGUGAAAACUCGAGGCUUAACCUCGAGAUGUCAUCGGAAACCAUCUGGCUAGAGUCCGGAAGAGGAGAGUGGAAUUCCUGGUGUAGCGGUGAAAUGCGCAGAUAUCAGGAAGAACACCAAUGGCGAAGGCAGCUCUCUGGGACGGUACUGACGCUGGGACGCGAAAGCGUGGGGAGCGAACAGG
This 253-nucleotide ribosomal RNA is filed under the name uncultured bacterium. RNAcentral's name for it is "partial 16S ribosomal RNA". It matches the Rfam family "Bacterial small subunit ribosomal RNA", at positions 524 to 776 of the family's 1533-position model. The record is from RNAcentral.